CCUACGGGGGGCAGCAGUCGAGAAUCAUUCACAAUGGGGGAAACCCUGAUGGUGCGACGCCGCGUGGGGGAAUGAAGGUCUUCGGAUUGUAAACCCCUGUCAUGUGGGAGCAAAUUAAAAAGAUAGUACCACAAGAGGAAGAGACGGCUAACUCUGUGCCAGCAGCCGCGGUAAUACAGAGGGCUCAAGCGUGGUUCGGAAUCACUGGGCGGAAAGCGUGCGUAGGCUGUUUCGUAAGUCGUGUGUGAAAGGCGCGGGCUCAACCCGCGGACGGCAGAUGAUACUGGGAGACUAGAGUAAUGGAGGGGGAACCGGAAUUCUAGGUGUAGCAGUGAAAUGCGUAGAUAUCGGGAGGAACACUCGUGGCGAAGGCGGGUUCCUGGACAUUAACUGACGCUGAGGCACGAAGGCCAGGGGAGCGAAAGGGAUUAGAUACCCGAGUAGUC
Molecule: ribosomal RNA, 446 nt
Filed under: uncultured bacterium
Lineage: Bacteria
Description: partial 16S ribosomal RNA
Rfam family: Bacterial small subunit ribosomal RNA
Source: RNAcentral